UACUUAAAAUAAUUAAUUAUUGAUUUAAAAAUUAUAUCACAUUUCACUAUUUCAGGCGGCGAUACGGAUAUCGGGACAGCUUACCAACCGAGUUGAUUUGCGAACAUAGUUUUGUGAGUUGAAAAUUAUAAAUAUUUUUAAAGUAUUUAUAAAUUAAGUAUAUUAACAAAGUAUGUACAAUUAUGUGUUUGAAUAUAUGAUUAUUAUGGAAAUCUCUUUUAUUAUGAUGCAUGUGGAAUUUCAAAGAUUAUUUAUGACACAUUUGUGACUUGGUACAUAAGACAUAUGAUAUUGAGAUUUGUUUGAUAUGUGAGACAUGUAAUAUUGAGAUCGACCAGAAAUUAAAGUACCAAUGAUUAUAUACUUCUUCUAAUACACAGAGGGGCCUUGGUAGUGAUCUAUCCUACACAGGGGGAUCUUAACCUUAUAUGUAUAUUAACCGUGUACAUAUAACUCAUAGAGGGGCCUUGGCUGUGUUCUGGAAUUGAUUACUAGAGGUCUUGAGAUCGGCUUUUGUUCACGGAGGGGACCAAAGGCUGGUGGGGAAAGUUUUUAACCCGAGGGGCGAAUUACAAAUUUCAAUCAAAAGGCACAUUUUGGUGGAUUUUUCAAUAUAUUUGAUAUUAUGAGAUUAUAGCAUAGUUAUCAAUUGAUGUUUAUAGCUUGACUUUGAGAUGAUAUUUUGUAACGUUAUGUGAAUGUCUCACGUUUUGACUAUAAUUAUAUGAUGUUAUCUUGCAAAUUAUUCAAUGAUAUGAACUCGAUUUUCAAUAAAAAUAUUAAAUUGAAAAAGUAUAAUUAUUUUCAAAAUUCUCCACUUACUGAGCUAUCAACUCAUAUAUUUUCUCGUAAUUUUUCCUACAGGUAGCAAUUGAUUUUUUUUAGCUGAAAGAGCCUAAUGAUUUCAGAAUGAGAGCCACACAACAUGUUGAGUGUUAUCACUCAUAUUGAUGAAGCACGAAGUAAAUAAUUUGGACCCAUCUCACUAUAUUUUACAUAGCAUUUGACUUUAGCGCAUUUUUUGUAGUAAUUCAUAGUCAGCCUUGGUGAUAAAUUUGACAUCUAGUCGGUAUCUAUCACUGGCACACAUUACGUUUUGGAUCCACAUGAGUGAUUCGGGAUGGGUCGUGUCAUAUUUAAUCAUCGAGGACCUCCACACAUUAAAAUCGAGAUAGAUCCCUCCAACACCUUUCUUCUACACCCCCAGUUUUUU
This 1213-nucleotide long non-coding RNA is filed under the name Olea europaea (common olive). Its description in RNAcentral is "long non-coding RNA (OEUR_LNC009017)". Lineage: Eukaryota; Viridiplantae; Streptophyta; Magnoliopsida; Lamiales; Oleaceae. The record is from RNAcentral.